This 90-nucleotide transfer RNA is filed under the name Deltaproteobacteria bacterium. RNAcentral's name for it is "tRNA-Ser". It matches the Rfam family "tRNA". From Rfam's summary of the family: Transfer RNA (tRNA) molecules are approximately 80 nucleotides in length. Their secondary structure includes four short double-helical elements and three loops (D, anti-codon, and T loops). The record is from RNAcentral. Lineage: Bacteria; Pseudomonadati; Myxococcota; Myxococcia.
GGAGAGGUGGCCGAGCGGUCGAAGGCGACGGUCUUGAAAACCGUUGACUCCUCACGGGGUCCGGGGGUUCGAAUCCCUCCCUCUCCGCCA